Phyllostomus discolor (pale spear-nosed bat) is the source of this 153-nucleotide long non-coding RNA. RefSeq lists it as uncharacterized. Lineage: Eukaryota; Metazoa; Chordata; Mammalia; Chiroptera; Phyllostomidae. The transcript has 3 exons. The record is from RefSeq and is a predicted model, not a curated record.
UGUAUUAAAGGAGAAGUUAAUACACUCUACUGUACUGACUGUCUGGUAGUCAGUGUUUCCCAGUACAAACUGUUACAGAGCUCAAUUCAACUGUAUACUUUUUGUAUAACCCCACUUUCCAAGAAUGAACAGAUUUGUAUCCACAUACCAAUU